AGAGAUAAUUUUUCACUUCAAACUUUACAGGUUCUGCUAACUGAUUGAAAAUUGCCUAUGUGUAAGCAGAAAUGAACAAGGUUGUGCUGGAAAUUCUCCCUUUCUCCAAAGCAAAUGUGCAAGACAUUUUAUAAAGAUUGUCGGUUGUCUCAUCCACAGAUGAUUGUAUCCAUCUUGGAGGCCAG
This is a long non-coding RNA of Ochotona curzoniae (black-lipped pika), 185 nucleotides long. RefSeq lists it as uncharacterized. The transcript is spliced from 3 exons. Lineage: Eukaryota; Metazoa; Chordata; Mammalia; Lagomorpha; Ochotonidae. The record is from RefSeq and is a predicted model, not a curated record.